GACGAACGCUGGCGGCGUGCUUAACACAUGCAAGUCGAACGGAAAGGCCCUGCUUUUGUGGGGUGCUCGAGUGGCGAACGGGUGAGUAACACGUGAGUAACCUGCCCUUGACUUUGGGAUAACUUCAGGAAACUGGGGCUAAUACCGGAUAGGAGCUCCUGCUGCAUGGUGGGGGUUGGAAAGUUUCGGCGGUUGGGGAUGGACUCGCGGCUUAUCAGCUUGUUGGUGGGGUAGUGGAUUACCAAGGCUUUGACGGGUAGCCGGCCUGAGAGGGUGACCGGGCCCAGUGGGACAGGGGAGCCGCCAGUAGUCCUUCGGGGGGAAGGGGGGGGAGAUUGUCGAAGAAGGGCGGAGUGAGUGAGGAAGAUCGCCGGGUCGGAAAUGGCGGUCUUUGGGGUGGAACCCGUUUGCCCGUAAAGCGGCGCGUGGUGACGGGAACUGGGUAAAAAGCCACGGCUAACUACGUG
RNAcentral lists this ribosomal RNA (467 nucleotides) under uncultured bacterium. RNAcentral describes it as "partial 16S ribosomal RNA". It matches the Rfam family "Bacterial small subunit ribosomal RNA", at positions 28 to 507 of the family's 1533-position model. The record is from RNAcentral.